CUCUCUCUUCUCCAUGUGACAUGAAGUUGGUCGGGGGUACGGGAGUAUGUACGUCAAGUCAUUGCCAAAUGGAUGUACUGCUUCAACCAACAGACCUAAGAAACCUUGAUCCGGCUUGAGUUCAAUUCUAUGAAACUGAGGACAUUAUCAAGGAUCAGUGGAUACAAUGGGACGACCCAAUGGAUUUUAAGUGAUGCCAUGGAGACAACCCCGUCCGCUGCCAUGGAUUUGGACUGGGCUGAGACGGAGGACGGAGGACUGGGCUCCUACCCGAGGGUCCUUCAUGUGGUGGAAUCUCUUAGGCCUUAAACAGGUGUGACGUUCUGACCUGUGGCCUGUGCUGGGUUCAGAUUGAUGGCAAUUUGAACAUGUUUAAUAAAUGAACCUAAACAAC
Long non-coding RNA from Osmerus eperlanus (European smelt), 394 nucleotides. RefSeq lists it as uncharacterized. Lineage: Eukaryota; Metazoa; Chordata; Actinopteri; Osmeriformes; Osmeridae. The transcript has 7 exons. The record is from RefSeq and is a predicted model, not a curated record.